RNAcentral lists this ribosomal RNA (253 nucleotides) under uncultured bacterium. Its description in RNAcentral is "partial 16S ribosomal RNA". It matches the Rfam family "Bacterial small subunit ribosomal RNA", at positions 524 to 776 of the family's 1533-position model. The record is from RNAcentral.
UACGAAGGGAGCUAGCGUUUUUCGGAUUUACUGGGCGUAAAGAGCACGUAGGCGGUUAAUUAAGUUGAAAGUGAAAUCCCAAGGCUUAACCUUGGAAUUGCUCUCAAAACUGAUUAGCUAGAGUGUGAUAGAGGAUAGUGGAAUUCCUAGUGUAGAGGUGAAAUUCUUAGAUAUUAGGAGGAACAUCAGAAGCGAAGGCGACUAUCUGGGUCAUUUCUGACGCUGAGGUGCGAAAGCGUGGGUAGCAAACAGG